GGCCGACUAGCUCAGUUGGUUAGAGCGUGGUGCUAAUACCUUACUGUCCUGCUCUGUAUCUUCCCUGAUACGGGUCUAGAUGGUGGUUACGCCAAGGUCGUCGGUUCGACCCCGGCGUUGGCCA
This is a non-coding RNA of Gloeophyllum trabeum ATCC 11539, 124 nucleotides long. Lineage: Eukaryota; Fungi; Basidiomycota; Agaricomycetes; Gloeophyllales; Gloeophyllaceae. The record is from the annotation of a RefSeq genome assembly.